GGGAAUGUGGCUUAGUGGUAGAGUGUUUGCCUAGCACGCAUGAAGCCCUGGGUUCAAUUCCUCAAUACCA
RNAcentral lists this transfer RNA (70 nucleotides) under Dipodomys ordii (Ord's kangaroo rat). It matches the Rfam family "tRNA". From Rfam's summary of the family: Transfer RNA (tRNA) molecules are approximately 80 nucleotides in length. The record is from Rfam by way of RNAcentral. Lineage: Eukaryota; Metazoa; Chordata; Mammalia; Rodentia; Heteromyidae.